UCGGGCACCUUUUUUAUCUCUACCAAGUCCAGAUGCCUGACUGUCUAUCAACUUUCCGAGUCUUUUUACCUUUUCGCUCACCAAAACACUGGCACUUCAAGAUGGAUGCAGGCUCUUUCUCUGAGUGUACUGGCAUGAUUCUCAGCUAAGUCGGCUGCAUAAAUUCAGUGCCAAGAGGAAUUUUUUGAGGCAACAUUUACAGUGGCAGCUGAACAGCACAAACUCGGAAGCUGCAUGCAUUAAAGGAAACCCUGCUGAUGUACAGAAGCCCUGCCAGGAGGCAAAGGAAGGUAACAUCUCUUCAUCUAAGACGUGCAGAGAAGUGGGUGGUGAUCUACGGUGAUUGCUGUUUUCCUUAAAGCCUUCUGAACAAGUCGUACAAGAACUCACAGGAAAUGCUUGCGAAAAUAAUACAAGUGUCAUGCGAUUUUAAAAAAAAACUGCCAAAUGGCAAGGAUCUUUGUAUAUUUCUAAUCACAGUGCAACAAAGCCUCAUUAUAUUA
Molecule: non-coding RNA, 503 nt
Organism: Pogona vitticeps (central bearded dragon)
Lineage: Eukaryota; Metazoa; Chordata; Lepidosauria; Squamata; Agamidae
Source: RefSeq, a predicted model, not a curated record